Molecule: ribosomal RNA, 253 nt
Filed under: uncultured bacterium
Lineage: Bacteria
Description: partial 16S ribosomal RNA
Rfam family: Bacterial small subunit ribosomal RNA
Source: RNAcentral
UACGUAGGGGGCGAGCGUUGUCCGGAUUUAUUGGGCGUAAAGCGCUCGCAGGCGGUCCGAUGCGUCGUGCGUGAAAGCCCCCGGCUCAACUGGGGAGGGUCGUGCGAUACGGUCGGACUUGAGGCCAGUAGGGGGAUGCGGAAUUCCUGGUGUAGCGGUGAAAUGCGCAGAUAUCAGGAGGAACACCGGUGGCGAAGGCGGUUCUCUGGGCCUUACCUGACGCUGAGGAGCGAAAGCAUGGGGAGCAAACAGG